Molecule: non-coding RNA, 182 nt
Filed under: Serpentinicella alkaliphila
Lineage: Bacteria; Bacillati; Bacillota; Clostridia; Peptostreptococcales; Natronincolaceae
Description: 6S / SsrS RNA
Rfam family: 6S / SsrS RNA
About the family: E. coli 6S RNA was the first non coding RNA to be sequenced, but its function was unknown until recently. It consists of 184 nucleotides that fold into an extended hairpin structure with a large single-stranded internal bulge.
Source: Rfam by way of RNAcentral
AUUUACCUGCCAUGUAUGUAAAUUCGGCUCAGUUUUGAUCCAACAUAUUUACAUCGGGAAUCCGAGUUUGUCUAACUAGUAAAUGCCUCGAUUAGUAAUGUGGACUUACGAACUGGAUAGCGGGAUACCCACCUUCGAGAGAGGGUUCCAAAACCACCGAAAUACGGCAUGGCGGGUAUAAU